GGGGUUAACCACAAAACAGCAUGAACCAAUCAGCUGGGCCGUGCCACGUCGUCGCUGCACAUCUGCGACUUCACUCGGAGAGCCGUUGGCCAUGAGACUUUCCCUCACUCCAUCUUAAGACGGACCACCAGCAACCCCGGGUGGCUCGCGAGGAGGAGGAGGAGGAGGAGACGGGAGCGCACGCUGCCCCUGUUUGCGCGGCUCGGUCGGGAACCCGGGUGCCUCGCGCUCGGGCAGCAGCGAGUGCUCCUUUUGGGCGCUCUUCCCCCAGCAGACGCAAUGACAUUCUGCUUGGUGGCGGUGGAAAAACUAUAACGAAUUGAAGAGGGCACCAGCGAUGAAGACAAGAUGAAGAAUUGCCGUUCCGUCUCCCCAGUGUUCAGACUACCUGUUCAGGAGGUUAAUGUUGUACAGUAGUCUGCACAUUGGUUAGACUGAGCACGGCCAUUCAUCUCAAAAACUAUGACUCUGUUGUAAGGUAGAUCACUUCACGGAUUAGUUUUGUUGUACGAUUCCAUUGCUCUUUUUCAGUAGAUAUGCAACGUCGCAAUAAUUUACGUCUUUUUGCAGUCUCGUUGUUAGUAAAUGUGAAAAUAUUUUCGAUUCUUUGUUCAUGUAGUGAAAUCGGCAAAAUAAAACCUAGUUAAUAACUCAAGUCUGAAAAGUUUAUUGGUUUUUUUUUACAACUAAAACGUAAUGAGGUGUGAUUUUACAUAACUGCUGAAAAAUUACAAACGAUUUUUACAAAACUUUUUAACGUUUGCAAAAUGUAACUUUGCUCCGAUGACGCAAAGAAGAAUGGGCAAAGGGGUAUUUCUGUUUUUUUUUAUCACAACAACGCAAAAACCAUAAAAGGGAGACGUUGAUUUUUUUUUUCUCUCUCAAGUUGCUUUUUCUGAGAGAGGCUGUGGUGGGGGUUAAGGAAACGCACACUCCCAGCCGAACCCUGACCCCCAUGGGGCUUCCCCAACGAAGACCUCCAAACCCAACGCCUGCAGUGUUCUCCUCCACAGCUCAUCAACAAUGUAGCUCCCCAGUGGGUGCACAAGCCAAUUACGAGACCACAUAUGCUAUUUAUGAGAUAGCUCCACUCUCAAAACGGCUAGUUACUUACUCGCACUCGGGGAUGCUUUACGAGUCGCUAAAACAAUUAAAUGCGUCCACUCAAAUUGUGCUUUUUAUGCGUUGUGACAAAAUAAAAUAUGUUUUGAAAAUGCCUUACGAAAUAUGUGAUUUUGUUUUUACUUGUUUUCGCAGUAUUCAUUUUUCGAGAUGUACUACUUGGUAUACACGCACAUUUUCUGAUGUUAUAAAGUAACGCAAAAAAAGGGAAAGUUUUAAGUGUAUUAAUUUGUGGGGGGAAAAAAUGUCAUGAAAAAGCUACGUAACUUAAGAAGAACAAAGGAAAUAACAUUAGACAGCUUGGACCGCAUGUUUGAAGAAGGAGGGAGCAGAUGUUUAACUUCUGCAGCGAUCCUUUACUGCCAUAGUUAUAUAUGGGCUUUGUGGAUUAUUAACUUUCACAGAUUCUCAAGACAAAAUGUAAAUAAGAGGCAUUAGUCUCUACAAUGGCUAUAAAUAUGGAAUAUCUCUCAAUCGCUGCAGCUCACUGUAAAAAAAUCAACCUAAAUCAUGGAAGAAGGAGGAGGGGGGGGGGGAUAAAAUGCGCCAUUCUCAGAAGAGUGAGCAGUUUGCUUUUCUUUCUGCUGAACAAUUUCCUGUCUUUCCCCCCCCUCCUCUCCCUUUCCUCUCUGCCUCUCUGGCUGGUUCCUCGUGAGGCCUCCGUGCGGGGUGCACUUGGGCUGAACCUCACCACAAAUAUAGUGCCGUUUAUACAUUCCUUUCUUCUCACCA
Molecule: long non-coding RNA, 1854 nt
Organism: Petromyzon marinus (sea lamprey)
Lineage: Eukaryota; Metazoa; Chordata; Hyperoartia; Petromyzontiformes; Petromyzontidae
Source: RefSeq, a predicted model, not a curated record